CAAUAGCGUAUAUUUAAGUUGCUGCAGUUAAAAAGCUCGUAGUUGGAUUUCGGGUGGGAAUGGCCGGUCCGCCGUUUCGGUGUGCACUUGCUACGCCCACCUUGCUGCCGGGGACGUGCUCUUGAGUUCACGCUCGGGACACGGAGUCGGCGAGGUUACUUUGAGUAAAUUAGAGUGUUCAAAGCAGGCCUACGCUCUGAAUACAUUAGCAUGGAAUAACACGAUAGGACUCUGGCCUAUCUUGUUGGUCUGUGGGACCGGAGUAAUGAUUAAGAGGGACAGUCGGGGGCAUUCGUAUUUCAUUGUCAGAGGUGAAAUUCUUGGAUUUAUGAAAGACGAACUACUGCGAAAGCAUUUGCCAAGGAUGUUUUCAUUAA
Molecule: ribosomal RNA, 377 nt
Filed under: uncultured eukaryote
Lineage: Eukaryota
Description: partial 18S ribosomal RNA
Rfam family: Eukaryotic small subunit ribosomal RNA
Source: RNAcentral